RNAcentral lists this ribosomal RNA (494 nucleotides) under uncultured bacterium. RNAcentral describes it as "partial 16S ribosomal RNA". It matches the Rfam family "Bacterial small subunit ribosomal RNA", at positions 28 to 507 of the family's 1533-position model. The record is from RNAcentral.
GACGAACGCUGGCGGCGUGCUUAACACAUGCAAGUCGAACGGUGAAGCGCCUUCCUUUUUGGUGGGUGUGGAUGAGUGGCGAACGGGUGAGUAACACGUGAGUAACCUGCCCCCUUCUUCUGGAUAACCGCAUGAAAGUGUGGCUAAUACGGGAUAUUCUGGGUCUGUCGCAUGAUGGGUCUGGGAAAGAUAUUGUUUCGGUGGGGGAUGGGCUCGCGGCCUAUCAGCUUGUUGGUGGGGUGAUGGCCUACCAAGGCGGUGACGGGUAGCCGGCCUGAGAGGGUGGACGGUCACACUGGGACUGAGACACGGCCCAGACACCUACGGGAGGCAGCAGUGGGGAAUAUUGCACAAUGGGCGCAAGCCUGAUGCAGCGACGCCGCGUGAGGGAUGGAGGCCUUCGGGUUGAGAACCUCUUUCGCCAGUGAAGCAGGCCUGCCUCGUUUGUGGGUGGGUUGACGGUAGCUGGAUAAGAAGCGCCGGCUAACUACGUG